RNAcentral lists this ribosomal RNA (258 nucleotides) under uncultured bacterium. RNAcentral's name for it is "partial 16S ribosomal RNA". It matches the Rfam family "Bacterial small subunit ribosomal RNA", at positions 96 to 354 of the family's 1533-position model. The record is from RNAcentral.
UGGCGGACGGGUGAGUAACGCGUGGAGAACCUGCCGUAUACUGGGGGAUAACACUUAGAAAUAGGUGCUAAUACCGCAUAAGCGCACAGCUUCGCAUGAAGCAGUGUGAAAAACUCCGGUGGUAUACGAUGGAUCCGCGUCUGAUUAGCUAGUUGGCGGGGUAAAGGCCCACCAAGGCGACGAUCAGUAGCCGGCCUGAGAGGGUGAACGGCCACAUUGGGACUGAGACACGGCCCAAACUCCUACGGGAGGCAGCAG